AGUGAACGCUGGCGGUAGGCCUAACACAUGCAAGUCGAACGGCAGCACAGUAAGAGCUUGCUCUUACGGGUGGCGAGUGGCGGACGGGUGAGGAAUACAUCGGAAUCUACUUUUUCGUGGGGGAUAACGUAGGGAAACUUACGCUAAUACCGCAUACGACCUACGGGUGAAAGCAGGGGAUCUUCGGGCCUUGCGCGAUUGAAUGAGCCGAUGUCGGAUUAACUAGUUGGCGGGGUAAAGGCCCACCAAGGCGACGAUCCGUAGCUGGUCUGAGAGGAUGAUCAGCCACACUGGAACUGAGACACGGUCCAGACUCCUACGGGAGGCAGCAGUGGGGAAUAUUGGACAAUGGGCGCAAGCCUGAUCCAGCCAUACCGCGUGGGUGAAGAAGGCCUUCGGGUUGUAAAGCCCUUUUGUUGGGAAAGAAAAGCAGCAGGUUAAUACCCCGCUGUUCUGACGGUACCCAAAGAAUAAGCACCGGCUAACUUCGUG
Molecule: ribosomal RNA, 492 nt
Filed under: uncultured bacterium
Lineage: Bacteria
Description: partial 16S ribosomal RNA
Rfam family: Bacterial small subunit ribosomal RNA
Source: RNAcentral